GCUGGGCAUGGUGGUGUGUGCCUGUAAUCCCAGGUACUCAGGAGGCUGAGGCAGGAGAAUUGCUUGAACCCGGGAGGCUGAGGUUGCAGUGAGCUGAAAUCGUGCCACUGCACUCCAGCCUAGGCGACAGAGCGAGACUCUGUCUCAA
Molecule: unclassified non-coding RNA, 148 nt
Organism: Pongo abelii (Sumatran orangutan)
Lineage: Eukaryota; Metazoa; Chordata; Mammalia; Primates; Hominidae
Rfam family: Metazoan signal recognition particle RNA
About the family: The signal recognition particle (SRP) is a universally conserved ribonucleoprotein. It is involved in the co-translational targeting of proteins to membranes.
Source: Ensembl